Pseudomyrmex gracilis is the source of this 660-nucleotide long non-coding RNA. RefSeq lists it as uncharacterized. The transcript is spliced from 2 exons. Lineage: Eukaryota; Metazoa; Arthropoda; Insecta; Hymenoptera; Formicidae. The record is from RefSeq and is a predicted model, not a curated record.
AACCGCGUGAUGCAAUUGUGACCAUUUUCCGGCUCUGUAACCAUUUUUCUCUCUCUGGUUUUAGUGUUUUCUCUGGACGUAGUGCAAUGUAUUUAUCCUAAAUUUUUGUGAUAUCAUUAUUUAUUAUUUAUUUAUAUUAUGCAACGCGUUGUCGCGGUCGACAUUUGAAAUCCGCCGGUGUCGCACUUGCAUCAUAUAUAUGUACGCAAAAUACGUACGGCGUAUCCAAUCGAAUCGCAAAAGGGUUAUCUUAUCUAAAAACUGGCGUACGAGUUUCCUCUCUUCAUUUUCAAUGAAUCAUUGAACGACAUUGAAUUGAACUGACGCGUACGCCCACGUGUGUCAUGGUCUUGUCAAUUGUUGUCGUAAAGCUACUUCAAAAGUGUAAUAAGAAAUAAAUCUUGCAGUGUCGGCUGCGUUAAGAAUCCAGCUGAUUUAUCAUCUAACUGAACUGAAAUGACGCGGGAAAUUAGUAUCAUCGCCAAGAUGAAAUGUGUGGAGGACAGUUUGCAAAACACUUGGUACAAGGUUCAAGUGAUCGAGCAGAAGCUGAAAACUAAGUUAUUUACCAUCGAGAAUCGCGAGAGAUUGGAGAACGAAUUGAAAAAAGUCAAAGAGGUUCUCAAAAAAAACGAAGAAGAAUUGAAAACUUUAAGAAAA